GUGGCGGCAUAGACAUGGGAGGCGGAGGCAUUCCACCUUGUUGUGGCGGGGGUGGGGGUGGUAUCCACAUAGGUGGUGCUGACAUACCAGUGGGAGGAGGUGGCGGCCUUACCAUGCUGACCGGAGGGGGCAUCAUGUUUGGUGGUGGAGGCCUCAUUGGGAGCCUGUACUGGAGUUGCGAUGCCAUGGGGGGCGGCAUAGGCUGUUGAGCGGGCCAAGCAGGUUG
RNAcentral lists this long non-coding RNA (226 nucleotides) under Sorghum bicolor (sorghum). RNAcentral's name for it is "long non-coding RNA (SBIC_LNC000499)". The record is from RNAcentral. Lineage: Eukaryota; Viridiplantae; Streptophyta; Magnoliopsida; Poales; Poaceae.